RNAcentral lists this long non-coding RNA (669 nucleotides) under Ursus maritimus (polar bear). RNAcentral's name for it is "lncRNA (ENSUMAG00000025560.1)". The record is from RNAcentral. Lineage: Eukaryota; Metazoa; Chordata; Mammalia; Carnivora; Ursidae.
CAUAGAACUGCAGUUAGUCUCUUUAUUUGGGUAUUCAGUAGUUUCUAAAGCACUGUGUCUCAUUUAUCCAAGUUCCCGUGACACGCCAUCAUCACCCAAUGAACAGGCUAUUCUUGGACAUUGGAAGAAGCUUGUCUUGGGCAAUAGAGAACACUGUUGGGGCCAGGAGGCCUCUUCAAACCAAGAAAUAUUUCUUUGGUGGAAAAAAAUGUAAAAUCGUGCUGGUGAUUGGGUGACAGACCUGGAGUGAAGUCAUUUUGAAGCUGUGUGGAAUUGGAUGAGGGGCUGAAACAGAAGCCAGCAAGAUGAAGAAAAAUGGGAUUCUCUGAAAGCCCGCUUUUGUGUCCCUUUUGUCAGGAACUGACAGUAUUAUUUUGGGGGUGUUGGGCAUCACCAGAGUCCCUGAACCUAAACGACUCCAGAGAUAAGGGAGUACAUGCAUCAGCACCCCCACUGUCCAGGAAUCAGAGGAGGAAGUGCCCUUGAAUGAAGCAUGGGCCACAAACCUGGUUAGCAGCCAGGGAGGACACACGCUCUGCAGGCAUCUUAUUUUGGAAACAGCACAGUUUAGCUUCCAUGUCAUCUUUGAAUAUGAGAGAGAAUCCUACUUUGAGCAUGUCCUCAACAGAGAGCAGAGAACCAGGUUUGUUCCUUCAAGAAGUCUCCUAA